This 115-nucleotide non-coding RNA is filed under the name Nomascus leucogenys (northern white-cheeked gibbon). Lineage: Eukaryota; Metazoa; Chordata; Mammalia; Primates; Hylobatidae. The record is from Rfam by way of RNAcentral.
GCUGGGCACGGUGGCUCAUGCCUGUAAUCCCAACACUGGGAGGCUGAGGCAGGUGAAUCACUUGAGGUCAGGAUUUCGAGACCAGCCUGGCCAACAUGGUGAAACCCUGUCUCUA